UACGAAGGGGGCAAGCGUUGUUCGGAAUUACUGGGCGUAAAGGGCGCGCAGGCGGCCAAUCAAGUCAGAUGUGAAAGCCCCGGGCUCAACCUGGGAAUAGCAUUUGGGACUGGUUGGCUAGAGUAUCGGAGAGGUUGGUGGAAUUCUCGGUGUAGAGGUGAAAUUCGUAGAUAUCGAGAGGAACACCGGUGGCGAAGGCGGCCAACUGGACGAAUACUGACGCUGAGACUCGAAAGCGUGGGGAGCAAACAGG
RNAcentral lists this ribosomal RNA (253 nucleotides) under uncultured bacterium. RNAcentral's name for it is "partial 16S ribosomal RNA". It matches the Rfam family "Bacterial small subunit ribosomal RNA", at positions 524 to 776 of the family's 1533-position model. The record is from RNAcentral.